GUAACAGGGUAGCAAUACCGCUGACGACCGGCGCACGGGUGAGUAUCGCGUAUGCAACCUACCUUUAACUGGGGAAUAGCUUCGAGAAAUCGGAAUUAAUACCCCAUAACAUUUCAGAAAGGCAUCUUUCAGAAAUUAAAGCUCCGGCGGUUAAAGAUGGGCAUGCGUAACAUUAGCUUGUUGGUGAGGUAACGGCUCACCAAGGCAACGAUGUUUAGGGGGUCUUAAAGGAUGAUCCCCCACACUGGUACUGAGACACGGACCAGACUCCUACGGGAGGCAGCAGUGAGGAAUAUUGGUCAAUGGACGCAAGUCUGAACCAGCCAUGCCGCGUGCAGGAUGACGGCCUUACAGGUUGUAAACUGCUUUUAUACGGGAAGAAACCCCUGAACGUGUUCGGGGCUGACGGUACUGUAUGAAUAAGCAUCGGCUAACUCCGCGCCAGCAGCCGCGGUAAUACGGAGGAUGCAAGCGUUAUCCGGAUUUAUUAGGUUUAAAGGGUGCGUAGGCGGAAUAUUAAGUCAGUGGUGAAAUCCUGCAGCUUAACUGUAGAACUGCCAUUGAAACUGAUAUUCUUGAGUCUAGUUGAGGUGGGCGGAAUGUGUCAUGUAGCGGUGAAAUGCAUAGAUAUGACACAGAACACCGAUUGCGUGGGCAGCUCACUAAGCUAUAACUGACGCUGAGGCACGAAAGCGUGGGGAUCAAACAGGAUUAGAUACCCUGGUAGUCCACGCUGUAGACGAUGAUUACUCGAUGUAUGCGAUAUACAGUAUGCGUCUGAGCGAAAGCAUUAAGUAAUCCACCUGGGGAGUACGAUCGCAAGAUUGAAACUCAAAGGAAUUGACGGGGGCCCGCACAAGCGGAGGAACAUGUGGUUUAAUUCGAUGUUACGCGAGGAACCUUACCUGGGCUUAAAUGCAGUAUGACUUUCCUGGAAACAGGAUUUCUCUUCGGAGCAAAUUGCAAGGUGCUGCAUGGUUGUCGUCAGCUCGUGCCGUGAGGUGUCGGGUUAAGUCCCAUAACGAGCGCAACCCCUAUUAUUAGUUGCCAGCGGAUAAUGCCGGGGACUCUAAUAAGACUGCCAGUGUAAACUGUGAGGAAGGUGGGGAUGACGUCAAAUCAGCACGGCCCUUACGUCCAGGGCUACACACGUGUUACAAUGGCCGGUACAAAGAGCAGCUACUUAGUGAUAAGAUGCUAAUCUCAAAAACCGGUCUCAGUUCGGAUCGAAGUCUGCAAUUCGACUUCGUGAAGCUGGAUUCGCUAGUAAUCGUAGAUCAGCAAUGCUACGGUGAAUACGUUCCCGGGCCUUGUACACACCGCCCGUCAAGCCAUGGAAGCUGGGGGUACCUAAAGUUCGUAACCGUAAGGAGCGACCUAGGGUAAAACUAGUGACUGGGGCUAAGUCGUAACAAGGUA
RNAcentral lists this ribosomal RNA (1419 nucleotides) under metagenome. RNAcentral describes it as "bacterial SSU rRNA". It matches the Rfam family "Bacterial small subunit ribosomal RNA". The record is from RNAcentral.